This is a non-coding RNA of Cinara cedri, 211 nucleotides long. The record is from the annotation of a GenBank genome assembly. NCBI's taxonomy places the organism in Eukaryota, Metazoa, Arthropoda, Insecta, Hemiptera, Aphididae.
AAAAUAAUCAUACAGAUUAUGGUUAAGGUAACACAUCAGCUAAGGUUAUUACUACUAACUGUAUAUCCUAGUAUAAGUAUUAUUUUUGGCAGGAAACAAUGCAUGGAUGCACAACUGACUUGGUAUAAGCAACAUUCAACAAAUCACACACGUGCUUGCGAUUGGACCUAACCAUAAACUGAUCUCACCUAACCAUCUGGAACGUUAUAUG